CCUACGGGUGGCUGCAGUGAGGAAUAUUGGUCAAUGGGCGCGAGUCUGAACCAGCCAAGUAGCGUGAAGGAUGACUGCCCUACGGGCUGUAAACUUCUUUUAUACAGGAAUAAAGUCAGGUAAGUGUGCCUUUCUGUAUGUACCUUAUGAAUAAGGAUCGGCUAACUCCGUGCCAGCAGCCGCGGUAAUACGGAGGAUUCGAGCGUUAUCCGGAUUUAUUGGGUUUAAAGGGAGCGUAGAUGGGCUGUUAAGUCAGUGGUGAAAGUUUGAGGCUCAACCGUAAAAUUGCCAUUGAUACUGGCAGCCUUGAGUACAGUUGAGGUAGGCGGAAUUCGUGGUGUAGCGGUGAAAUGCUUAGAUAUCACGAAGAACUCCGAUUGCGAAGGCAGCUUACUAAGCUGCCACUGACAUUGAUGCUCGAAAGUGUGGGUAGCAAACAGGAUUAGAUACCCGGGUAGUC
RNAcentral lists this ribosomal RNA (460 nucleotides) under uncultured bacterium. Its description in RNAcentral is "partial 16S ribosomal RNA". It matches the Rfam family "Bacterial small subunit ribosomal RNA", at positions 338 to 795 of the family's 1533-position model. The record is from RNAcentral.